CGGCGGAAGGGCGCUGGGGAACCGGACGGGUGGCCGCGGGCCGGACCGAAAGUGUGGGGGAUAAGGGCCGCGCCGGACCGGAAAGCGGUGUCACUGCCGGCGCGGGAACGUAACCUGGACGGAAAUGUCGAGUCUUGAGCUGAGCUCUGGCUGGAUUGUUGUAUCGUGUGUGCUUUCCCACGCACAAAGGAGGUUGCUCCCGUUUCUACCUUUCACGAGCGGGUGGAGAAUCGCAAACUGAGCCAUGCGUGCUUAGGUGAGGCCACUCUGGAGCAAAUGAAGUUAAAAGCAUUCUCUGUUGUUCCCUGUGAAGGAAAGUUACACGGCUCAAAAUAGCCUGGAGUUAAAACUCCCCUCUGAGACCUCCCCACCAUUCUAUGCAAAACAGAACUCUCUCACCGGAAGGGAAAACAAUGGACAUUAAGGUUGAUUACACCCAGCUCCCAGCUGGUCCCAGUCUCUGGCUGAUCUCCAGAAUUCCUUGCCCCAGCCGGUUAAGAGAUAACUAGCCCAAACAACCUUGGAGAAGAACAGGCCCCCUUAAGACAGUAAAUGUCCACAUAUAUGCCUAUGUAUACUACUCAUUUCUUGGGUUAGUGCAGCAGCUCACUAAUCUCACCUCAUUAAAGGUGACCUGUUCCUGUACAGUGCCCCUCUCCUUCUUUUUCCGAACCUUACCUUCUCUAACUCCUUACACAUCGUUUGUUACCUGAAACAGAGCCACACCCAGACAGCUAUGACAUUGUGCUGUGCUGCCACUGGAAGAAUGGAAGAAUGAAAUCAACAUUUAGCCUUUGUGUUUUUAAGAUUGUGUUUUGCAGACAAAGUAAACAAACUUACGGUUACCAAAAGAGGAAAGGGGUGGGAAGGACGGAUAAAUUGGGAGUUUGGGAUUAA
Molecule: long non-coding RNA, 897 nt
Organism: Bubalus bubalis (water buffalo)
Lineage: Eukaryota; Metazoa; Chordata; Mammalia; Artiodactyla; Bovidae
Exons: 2
Source: RefSeq, a predicted model, not a curated record